Molecule: ribosomal RNA, 388 nt
Filed under: uncultured bacterium
Lineage: Bacteria
Description: bacterial SSU rRNA
Rfam family: Bacterial small subunit ribosomal RNA
Source: RNAcentral
GACGAACGCUGGCGGCGUGCUUAACACAUGCAAAUCGAGCGGUAAGGCCCUUUCGGGGGUACACGAGCGGCGAACGGGUGAGUAACACGUGGGUGACCUGCCCUCAGCUCUGGGAUAAGCCUGGGAAACCGGGUCUAAUACCGGAUAUGACUCCAUGACGCAUGUUGUGGGGUGGAAAGCCUUGUGCGGCUGAGGAUGGGCCCGCGGCCUAUCAGCUUGUUGGUGGGGUGAUGGCCUACCAAGGCGACGACGGGUAGCCGGCCUGAGAGGGCGACCGGCCACACUGGGACUGAGACACGGCCCAGACUCCUACGGGAGGCAGCAGUGGGGAAUCUUGCGCAAUGGGCGAAAGCCUGACGCAGCGACGCCGCGUGAGGGAUGACGGCCU